CAGUCGACGGCAGCACGGGUGCUUGCACCUGGUGGCGAGUGGCGAACGGUGAGUAAUGUAUCGGAACGUAUCCAAUAAUGGGGGAUAACUAAUCGAAAGGUUGGCUAAUACCGCAUACGCCCUACGGGGGAAAGCAGGGGAUCUUCGGACCUUGCGUUAAUGGAGCGGCCGAUAUCUGAUUAGCUAGUUGGUGAGGUAAAGGCUCACCAAGGCGACGAUCAGUAGCUGGUCUGAGAGGACGACCAGCCACACUGGAACUGAGACACGGUCCAGACUCCUACGGGAGGCAGCAGUGGGGAAUUUUGGACAAUGGGGGCAACCCUGAUCCAGCCAUUCCGCGUGAGUGAAGAAGGCCUUCGGGUUGUAAAGCUCUUUCGCAAGGGAAGAAACGAUACAGUCUAGUAAACUGUGUUAAUGACGGUACCUUGAUAAGAAGCACCGGCUAACUACGUGCCAGCAGCCGCGGUAAUACGUAGGGUGCGAGCGUUAAUCGGAAUUACUGGGCGUAAAGCGUGCGCAGGCGGUUUUGAAAGUCAGAUGUGAAAUCCCCGGGCUCAACCUGGGAACUGCGUUUGAAACUCCAAAGCUAGAGUAUGGGAGAGGGGGGUAGAAUUCCACGUGUAGCAGUGAAAUGCGUAGAGAUGUGGAGGAAUACCAAUGGCGAAGGCAGCCCCCUGGCUUAAUACUGACGCUCAUGCACGAAAGCGUGGGGAGCAAACAGGAUUAGAUACCCUGGUAGUCCACGCCCUAAACGAUGUCUACUAGUUGUUGGGAGAGUAAAAUCUCUUAGUAACGCAGCUAACGCGUGAAGUAGACCGCCU
Molecule: ribosomal RNA, 821 nt
Filed under: uncultured bacterium
Lineage: Bacteria
Description: bacterial SSU rRNA
Rfam family: Bacterial small subunit ribosomal RNA
Source: RNAcentral